AUCGAACUGACGAGUCCGAAAUGGGACGAAACGCGAGUCCUGGAU
This 45-nucleotide non-coding RNA is filed under the name Schistosoma mansoni. The record is from RNAcentral. Lineage: Eukaryota; Metazoa; Platyhelminthes; Trematoda; Strigeidida; Schistosomatidae.